Molecule: long non-coding RNA, 589 nt
Organism: Prionailurus viverrinus (fishing cat)
Lineage: Eukaryota; Metazoa; Chordata; Mammalia; Carnivora; Felidae
Exons: 3
Source: RefSeq, a predicted model, not a curated record
GGUUGGGAAGGACUAGCUGUGUUUGAGCGCAAAUAAGGAUGCCCAGGAUCCUAGCUAUAUGGGGCAGUGUUAGCAUCAGGGUACCGCGUGCGACAGAGUCAAUCUGUAGUUGUCAAUCAUCGUGACCAGGGAUGACUGGGCCUAAAUGGCCAAAGGGGUGGACUAUGAUGAUGUACUGUUAUCCUCACUUUAUGAUAAGGUCACAAGGCGAAUAAAUUACCAUAUUGUGUGCAGGUCCCACAUACCGAGUCGCAUGGUGUACUGCCUACUUGGACUCAGAGAAGGAGCGUAUAUCCAGCAAGAGUCACUGAAUGGAGCUGGAGACCUGAAUCAAAUCAACCUGACAAGCAACAGAGCCUGUGGUCAAUCCUGCUUACAUGUGCCAGGGCACAGACAGCAUUACAGAUGCAAGACCCUUCACCAUUGCUGUUAAAGAUCAAUAUAUACUACUCCUUUGUAAAAAAGAGUUAACAGGAACUGCAGUAUUUCUUCAGGAGGGAAGGAGAGUUCAAUAAAAGAAAGCUUGAGGCUGUUAUACUUUUGGAGCAGCAAGUUCACUCCUGAUGUCUUUGACAUCAUUGGUUCUGCC